UACGUAGGGUGCGAGCGUUACUCGGAAUUACUGGGCGUAAAGCGUGCGCAGGCGGUUCGCCAAGUCAGGUGUGAAAUCCCCGGGCUUAACCUGGGAAUUGCGCUUGAAACUAGCGGGCUUGAGUGUGGCAGAGGGGGGUGGAAUUCCCGGUGUAGUGGUGGAAUGCGUAGAUAUCGGGAGGAACACCAGUGGCGAAGGCGGUUGCCUGGAGCUUUGCUGACGCUGAGGCGCGAAAGCGUGGGGAGCGAUCCGG
Molecule: ribosomal RNA, 253 nt
Filed under: uncultured bacterium
Lineage: Bacteria
Description: partial 16S ribosomal RNA
Rfam family: Bacterial small subunit ribosomal RNA
Source: RNAcentral